AGCUCUGUGGUGUACGACAUGUCAGAUUGCAAAUCUGAAGGCGCAGGCUUACCACCUGCCGGGGCUU
RNAcentral lists this transfer RNA (67 nucleotides) under Ivindomyrus marchei. Its description in RNAcentral is "tRNA-Cys". It matches the Rfam family "tRNA". From Rfam's summary of the family: Transfer RNA (tRNA) molecules are approximately 80 nucleotides in length. Their secondary structure includes four short double-helical elements and three loops (D, anti-codon, and T loops). Further hydrogen bonds mediate the characteristic L-shaped molecular structure. tRNAs have two regions of fundamental functional importance: the anti-codon, which is responsible for specific mRNA codon recognition, and the 3' end, to which the tRNAs corresponding amino acid is attached (by aminoacyl-tRNA synthetases). tRNAs cope with the degeneracy of the genetic code in two manners: having more than one tRNA (with a specific anti-codon) for a particular amino acid; and 'wobble' base-pairing, i.e. permitting non-standard base-pairing at the 3rd anti-codon position. Lineage: Eukaryota; Metazoa; Chordata; Actinopteri; Osteoglossiformes; Mormyridae. The record is from RNAcentral.